UACGUAGGGUGCGAGCGUUGUCCGGAAUUAUUGGGCGUAAAGGGCUCGUAGGCGGUUUGUCGCGUCGGGAGUGAAAACACCGGGCUUAACUCGGUGCUUGCUUUCGAUACGGGCAGACUAGAGGUAUGCAGGGGAGAACGGAAUUCCUGGUGUAGCGGUGAAAUGCGAAGAUAUCAGGAGGAACACCGGUGGCGAAGGCGGUUCUCUGGGCAUGACCUGACGCUGAGGAGCGAAAGUGUGGGGAGCGAACAGG
This 253-nucleotide ribosomal RNA is filed under the name uncultured bacterium. RNAcentral describes it as "partial 16S ribosomal RNA". It matches the Rfam family "Bacterial small subunit ribosomal RNA", at positions 524 to 776 of the family's 1533-position model. The record is from RNAcentral.